This 497-nucleotide ribosomal RNA is filed under the name uncultured bacterium. RNAcentral's name for it is "partial 16S ribosomal RNA". It matches the Rfam family "Bacterial small subunit ribosomal RNA", at positions 28 to 507 of the family's 1533-position model. The record is from RNAcentral.
GAUGAACGCUGGCGGCGUGCCUAAUACAUGCAAGUCGAGCGAACGGACGAGAAGCUUGCUUCUCUGAUGUUAGCGGCGGACGGGUGAGUAACACGUGGAUAACCUACCUAUAAGACUGGGAUAACUUCGGGAAACCGGAGCUAAUACCGGAUAAUAUUUUGAACCGCAUGGUUCAAAAGUGAAAGACGGUCUUGCUGUCACUUAUAGAUGGAUCCGCGCUGCAUUAGCUAGUUGGUAAGGUAACGGCUUUCCAAGGCAACGAUGCAUAGCCGACCUGAGAGGGUGAUCGGCCACACUGGAACUGAGACACGGUCCAGACUCCUACGGGAGGCAGCAGUAGGGAAUCUUCCGCAAUGGGCGAAAGCCUGACGGAGCAACGCCGCGUGAGUGAUGAAGGUCUUCGGAUCGUAAAACUCUGUUAUUAGGGAAGAACAUAUGUGUAAGUAACUGUGCACAUCUUGACGGUACCUAAUCAGAAAGCCACGGCUAACUACGUG